RNAcentral lists this unclassified non-coding RNA (274 nucleotides) under Orbiliales sp. RNAcentral describes it as "partial contains 5.8S ribosomal RNA, internal transcribed spacer 2, and large subunit ribosomal RNA". The record is from RNAcentral. Lineage: Eukaryota; Fungi; Ascomycota; Orbiliomycetes; Orbiliales.
CGCACAUUGCGCCCAUUGGUAUUCCGAUGGGCACGUCUGUUUGAGCGUCAUCACAACCUUUCGGCCCAGCAUUUUGCUGCCCGGUGAUGAGUUUGGUCCUGACCUGGCCUCCGUGCCGGGAACCAACUUUAAAGUUGUGCGCUCUGCGGGACGCCGACCCAGCAAAACAUAGUAAAACUGCUACCUGUUGAGCUGCGAGCGGUGGUUGCCCCGCCUGAAUAAACUCUUCUUGAAGUUUGACCUCAGAUCAGACGAGGAUACCCGCUGAACUUAA